Molecule: unclassified non-coding RNA, 335 nt
Filed under: soil metagenome
Description: partial contains 5.8S ribosomal RNA, internal transcribed spacer 2, and large subunit ribosomal RNA
Rfam family: 5.8S ribosomal RNA (bases 1-120)
Source: RNAcentral
GAUGAAGAACGUAGCGAAAUGCGAUAAGUAAUGUGAAUUGCAGAAUUCAGUGAAUCAUCGAAUCUUUGAACGCACAUUGCGCCCGCCAGUAUUCUGGCGGGCAUGCCUGUUCGAGCGUCAUUUCAACCAUCAAGCCCCCGGCUUGUGUUGGGGACCUGCGGCUGCCGCAGGCCCUGAAAACCAGUGGCGGGCUCGCUAGUCACUCCGAGCGUAGUAAUACAUCUCGCUCAGGGCGUGCUGCGGGUUCCGGCCGUUAAAAAGCCUUAUUUACCCAAGGUUGACCUCGGAUCAGGUAGGAAGACCCGCUGAACUUAAGCAUGUCAAUAAGCGGAGGA